This 209-nucleotide unclassified non-coding RNA is filed under the name Hevea brasiliensis (rubber tree). The record is from RNAcentral. Lineage: Eukaryota; Viridiplantae; Streptophyta; Magnoliopsida; Malpighiales; Euphorbiaceae.
UUGAUCAUGUUCAUUAUCAAUUACUUCACGGGGAAACGCGAAAAUGAGAAUUUGGCGCUGUCUUGGGCGGCGAAAUUCGCUACCAAAGACUCGAUUUUCGAGAAGAAUUAUAGCCUUCUGGGUGUUGGAGAAGGCGAUGAUUCGCCACUGUUGUUGAAAGAAGGGCAGAAUGUUUUCAAAUUUUAUGCUAGUGGUCGUAGGUACUGUCA